RNAcentral lists this ribosomal RNA (623 nucleotides) under uncultured bacterium. Its description in RNAcentral is "bacterial SSU rRNA". It matches the Rfam family "Bacterial small subunit ribosomal RNA", at positions 338 to 951 of the family's 1533-position model. The record is from RNAcentral.
CCUACGGGAGGCAGCAGUGGGGAAUUUUGGACAAUGGGCGCAAGCCUGAUCCAGCCAUGCCGCGUGCAGGAUGAAGGCCUUCGGGUUGUAAACUGCUUUUGUACGGAACGAAAAGACUCUGGUUAAUACCUGGGGUCCAUGACGGUACCGUAAGAAUAAGCACCGGCUAACUACGUGCCAGCAGCCGCGGUAAUACGUAGGGUGCGAGCGUUAAUCGGAAUUACUGGGCGUAAAGCGUGCGCAGGCGGUUAUAUAAGACAGAUGUGAAAUCCCCGGGCUCAACCUGGGAACUGCAUUUGUGACUGUAUAGCUAGAGUACGGCAGAGGGGGAUGGAAUUCCGCGUGUAGCAGUGAAAUGCGUAGAUAUGUGGAGGAACACCGAUGGCGAAGGCAAUCCCCUGGGCCUGUACUGACGCUCAUGCACGAAAGCGUGGGGAGCAAACAGGAUUAGAUACCCUGGUAGUCCACGCCCUAAACGAUGUCAACUGGUUGUUGGGUCUUCACUGACUCAGUAACGAAGCUAACGCGUGAAGUUGACCGCCUGGGGAAGUACGGCCGCGAAGGUUGAAACUUCAAAGGAAUUGACGGCUUGAGACGNGCGAGGACGACGACGAGGGAGGAGG